This 482-nucleotide ribosomal RNA is filed under the name uncultured bacterium. RNAcentral describes it as "bacterial SSU rRNA". It matches the Rfam family "Bacterial small subunit ribosomal RNA", at positions 426 to 918 of the family's 1533-position model. The record is from RNAcentral.
UAAACCUCUUUCAGCAGGGAAGAAGCGAAAGUGACGGUACCUGCAGAAGAAGCGCCGGCUAACUACGUGCCAGCAGCCGCGGUAAUACGUAGGGCGCAAGCGUUGUCCGGAAUUAUUGGGCGUAAAGAGCUCGUAGGCGGCUUGUCACGUCGGAUGUGAAAGCCCGGGGCUUAACCCCGGGUCUGCAUUCGAUACGGGCUAGCUAGAGUGUGGUAGGGGAGAUCGGAAUUCCUGGUGUAGCGGUGAAAUGCGCAGAUAUCAGGAGGAACACCGGUGGCGAAGGCGGAUCUCUGGGCCAUUACUGACGCUGAGGAGCGAAAGCGUGGGGAGCGAACAGGAUUAGAUACCCUGGUAGUCCACGCCGUAAACGCUGGGAACUAGGUGUUGGCGACAUUCCACGUCGUCGGUGCCGCAGCUAACGCAUUAAGUUCCCCGCCUGGGGAGUACGGCCGCAAGGCUAAAACUCAAAUGAAUUGACGGAA